GCCGAUGUGGCUCAGGGGUAGAGCACUCCCUUGGUAAGGGAGAGGUCGUGGGUUCGAUUCCCACCAUCGGCACCA
Molecule: transfer RNA, 75 nt
Filed under: Burkholderiaceae bacterium
Lineage: Bacteria; Pseudomonadati; Pseudomonadota; Betaproteobacteria; Burkholderiales; Burkholderiaceae
Description: tRNA-Thr
Rfam family: tRNA
About the family: Transfer RNA (tRNA) molecules are approximately 80 nucleotides in length.
Source: RNAcentral